This 447-nucleotide ribosomal RNA is filed under the name uncultured bacterium. RNAcentral describes it as "bacterial SSU rRNA". It matches the Rfam family "Bacterial small subunit ribosomal RNA", at positions 355 to 825 of the family's 1533-position model. The record is from RNAcentral.
UCGGGAAUUUUGGGCAAUGGGCGAAAGCCUGACCCAGCAACGCCGCGUGAAGGAUGAAGUAUUUCGGUAUGUAAACUUCGAAAGAAUAGGAAGAAUAAAUGACGGUACUAUUUAUAAGCUCCGGCUAACUACGUGCCAGCAGCCGCGGUAAUACGUAGGGAGCAAGCGUUGUUCGGAUUUACUGGGCGUAAAGCGUACGUAGGCGGUGACUCAAGUCAGAGGUGAAAGCCUGGAGCUCAACUCCAGAACUGCCUUUGAAACUAGGUCGCUAGAAUCACGGAGAGGUGAGUGGAAUUCCGAGUGUAGAGGUGAAAUUCGUAGAUAUUCGGAAGAACACCAGUGGCGAAGGCGGCUCACUGGACGUGUAUUGACGCUGAGGUACGAAAGCGUGGGGAGCAAACAGGAUUAGAUACCCCCGUAGUCCCUGAGCGGGCUGGCAAGGCGCAU